This 445-nucleotide ribosomal RNA is filed under the name uncultured bacterium. RNAcentral describes it as "SSU rRNA". It matches the Rfam family "Bacterial small subunit ribosomal RNA", at positions 26 to 518 of the family's 1533-position model. The record is from RNAcentral.
AGAGCGAACGCUGGCGGCAGGCCUAAAACAUGCAAGUCGAGCGCCGUAGCAAUACGGAGCGGCAGACGGGUGAGUAACACGUGGGAACGUACCCUUUGGUUCGGAACAACACAGGGAAACUUGUGCUAAUACCGGAUAAGCCCUUACGGGGAAAGAUUUAUCGCCAGAGGAUCGGCCCGCGUCUGAUUAGCUAGUUGGUGGGGUAACGGCCCACCAAGGCUACGAUCAGUAGCUGGUCUGAGAGGAUGAUCAGCCACACUGGGACUGAGACACGGCCCAGACUCCUACGGGAGGCAGCAGUUAGGAAUCUUGGACAAUGGGCGCAAGCCUGAUCCAGCCAUGCCGCGUGAGUGAUGAAGGCCUUAGGGUUGUAAAGCUCUUUCAGCGGGGAAGAUAAUGACGGUACCCGCAGAAGAAGCCCCGGCUAACUCGUGCCAGCAGCCGC